UACGUAGGGGGCAAGCGUUGUCCGGAAUUAUUGGGCGUAAAGCGCGCGCAGGCGGCUUCUUAAGUCUGAUGUGAAAGCCCACGGCUCAACCGUGGAGGGUCAUUGGAAACUGGGGAGCUUGAGUGCAGAAGAGGAGAGUGGAAUUCCACGUGUAGCGGUGAAAUGCGUAGAGAUGUGGAGGAACACCAGUGGCGAAAGCGGCUCUCUGGUCUGUAACUGACGCUCAUGCACGACAGCGUGGGGAUCAAACAGG
RNAcentral lists this ribosomal RNA (253 nucleotides) under uncultured bacterium. RNAcentral describes it as "partial 16S ribosomal RNA". It matches the Rfam family "Bacterial small subunit ribosomal RNA", at positions 524 to 776 of the family's 1533-position model. The record is from RNAcentral.